GAUAAACGCUGGCGGCGUGCCUAAUACAUGCAAGUCGAGCGAACGGACGAGAAGCUUGCUUCUCUGAUGUUAGCGGCGGACGGGUGAGUAACACGUGGAUAACCUACCUAUAAGACUGGGAUAACUUCGGGAAACCGGAGCUAAUACCGGAUAGUAUUUUGAACCGCAUGGUUCAAAAGUGAAAGACGGUCUUGCUGUCACUUAUAGAUGGAUCCGCGCUGCAUUAGCUAGUUGGUAAGGUAACGGCUUACCAAGGCAACGAUGCAUAGCCGACCUGAGAGGGUGAUCGGCCACACUGGAACUGAGACACGGUCCAGACUCCUACGGGAGGCAGCAGUAGGGAAUCUUCCGCAAUGGGCGAAAGCCUGACGGAGCAACGCCGCGUGAGUGAUGAAGGUCUUCGGAUCGUAAAACUCUGUUAUUAGGGAAGAACAUAUGUGUAAGUAACUGUGCACAUCUUGACGGUACCUAAUCAGAAAGCCACGGCUAACUACGUGCCAGCAGCCGCGGUAAUACGUAGGUGGCAAGCGUUAUCCGGAAUUAUUGGGCGUAAAGCGCGCGUAGGCGGUUUUUUAAGUCUGAUGUGAAAGCCCACGGCUCAACCGUGGAGGGUCAUUGGAAACUGGAAAACUUGAGUGCAGAAGAGGAAAGUGGAAUUCCAUGUGUAGCGGUGAAAUGCGCAGAGAUAUGGAGGAACACCUGUGGCGAAGGCGACUUUCUGGUCUGUAACUGACGCUGAUGUGCGAAAGCGUGGGGAUCAAACAGGAUUAGAUACCCUGGUAGUCCACGCCGUAAACGAUGAGUGCUAAGUGUUAGGGGGUUUCCGCCCCUUAGUGCUGCAGCUAACGCAUUAAGCACUCCGCCUGGGGAGUACGACCGCAAGGUUGAAACUCAAAGGAAUUGACGGGGACCCGCACAAGCGGUGGAGCAUGUGGUUUAAUUCGAAGCAACGCGAAGAACCUUACCAAAUCUUGACAUCCUUUGACAACUCUAGAGAUAGAGCCUUCCCCUUCGGGGGACAAAGUGACAGGUGAUGCAUGGUUGUCGUCAGCUCGUGUCGUGAGAUGUUGGGUUAAGUCCCGCAACGAGCGCAACCCUUAAGCUUAGUUGCCAUCAUUAAGUUGGGCACUCUAAGUUGACUGCCGGUGACAAACCGGAGGAAGGUGGGGAUGACGUCAAAUCAUCAUGCCCCUUAUGAUUUGGGCUACACACGUGCUACAAUGGACAAUACAAAGGGCAGCGAAACCGCGAGGUCAAGCAAAUCCCAUAAAGUUGUUCUCAGUUCGGAUUGUAGUCUGCAACUCGACUACAUGAAGCUGGAAUCGCUAGUAAUCGUAGAUCAGCAUGCUACGGUGAAUACGUUCCCGGGUCU
Molecule: ribosomal RNA, 1372 nt
Filed under: uncultured bacterium
Lineage: Bacteria
Description: bacterial SSU rRNA
Rfam family: Bacterial small subunit ribosomal RNA
Source: RNAcentral